CCUUAUCACUUCUCUUCAGCCAGUUAGUUAUGUAACAAGCGAAAAGCUUGAAUAAAAUCAAUCGCUUUUCGCUUAAUUGGACGGAGAAUUGAUAAGGGC
Molecule: microRNA precursor, 99 nt
Filed under: Brachionus plicatilis
Lineage: Eukaryota; Metazoa; Rotifera; Eurotatoria; Ploima; Brachionidae
Description: Bpl-Mir-184_pre stem-loop
Source: RNAcentral